CAAAUCCAUCCACGUCUCAUAUUCUGAGACCACGUUGAAAUGUUCCCCGGAGCCGCUGUCUCCUCGGUGCGCGCCAGCUUGUCUGGCCGUCCCUGGAGUCAUGUUCUGGGCUGUUAAACUAGUCAUCUCUGUUGCUCAAAUGUAUCUUGAUUUCAAUCAAACGAAAACUUGUA
RNAcentral lists this unclassified non-coding RNA (173 nucleotides) under uncultured fungus. Its description in RNAcentral is "sequence contains ITS1". The record is from RNAcentral. Lineage: Eukaryota; Fungi.